Molecule: non-coding RNA, 246 nt
Filed under: Gossypium arboreum
Lineage: Eukaryota; Viridiplantae; Streptophyta; Magnoliopsida; Malvales; Malvaceae
Description: Eukaryotic large subunit ribosomal RNA
Rfam family: Eukaryotic large subunit ribosomal RNA
Source: Rfam by way of RNAcentral
CGACCCCAGGUUAGGCGGGAUUACCCGCUGAGUUUAAGCAUAUCAAUAAGCAAAGGAAAAGAAACUUACCAGGAUUCCCCUAGUAACGGCGAGCGAACCGGGAAAAGCCCAGCUUGAGAAUCGGGUGCCACCGGCAUUCGAAUUGUAGUCUGGAGAAGCGUCCUCAGUGGCAGACCGGGCCCAAGUCCCCUGGAAAGGGGCGCCGGAGAGGGUGAGAGCCCCGUCGUGCCCGGACCCUGUCGCACC